UAUAUAUAUAUAUAUAUAUAUAUAUAGAAUUGAGCUCCUAUACUUUUAAAAGUACCAAGUCAUUGGUACUUGUAAGUUUUCGGUCCUUAGAUUAAGAAAUAUGCGAUUAGGAUGAUGUGGGUUCCCUAGGGUUGAGUGGAUAGUUGGUUUAAUAGUAUAAUCUAACGGUUGAAAAUGAUUAAAGACGUAGAUCUAACGGUAAAAAACUUACAAGUACCAAGUGCUUGGUGCUUUUACAAGCNUAUAUAUAUAUAUAUAUAUAUAUAUAUAUUGAAUUGAGCUCCUAUGCUUUUAUAAGUAUCAAGUUAUUAGUGCUUGUAAGUUUUCGGCCCUUGGAUUAAGGGAUGUACGGUUAUGAUGAUGUGGGCCCUAUAGGAUUGAGUGAUUAGUUGAUUGAAUAGUAUAAUCUAACGGGUGAAAAUGAUCAAAAGCGUAGAUCUAACGGGAAAAAAUUCACAAGCACCAAGUGCUUGGUGUUUUUACAAGCACCAUAGCCGAACUCAUAUAUAUAUAUAUAUAUAUAUAUAGAGAGAGAGAGAGAGAGAGAGAGAGUUGGACUGCGCUACUAUUAGUAGCAAAAUCUCAUUGUUGCUACCAGUUUUUUAGCCUUUGGAUCAACUCUUUUCAUUAUUUCUAAUCAUUGGAUUAAAUACUAUAACCCAGACCACUCAACCCUAGGAGGACCACUCAACUCUAACCGACUAAUAUCAUCCUGACCCUACAAUUUUUCAUCCAAGAAUUAAAAACUUGAUAGCAAAAAGAGCGUUUUACUAUUAAUAGUAUUCCAGCCUAAUUCUAUAUAUAUAUAUAUAUAUAUUCUUAUUAAU
RNAcentral lists this long non-coding RNA (827 nucleotides) under Ananas comosus (pineapple). Its description in RNAcentral is "long non-coding RNA (ACOM_LNC018879)". The record is from RNAcentral. Lineage: Eukaryota; Viridiplantae; Streptophyta; Magnoliopsida; Poales; Bromeliaceae.